Molecule: ribosomal RNA, 3126 nt
Filed under: Trichinella sp. T6
Lineage: Eukaryota; Metazoa; Nematoda; Enoplea; Trichinellida; Trichinellidae
Description: eukaryotic LSU rRNA
Rfam family: Eukaryotic large subunit ribosomal RNA (bases 1462-3098)
Source: RNAcentral
GCUGAGACGGUUGCGUGAUCGUGCGCAGAAAAGCGUCAUCAAAGCGGACAAAGCGAUCAGCAAAGCGUUCGGUUCUUCGGUUUUCAAAGCCGUGCAACGACGCCUUCGCCAAUUUGGAAAUAUUCACAAAAAUGUCAGCAAUGAUGAUUACGUGAACGAGUUGAAAAAUUUAGUAAAAAACAUUACCGGCACGUUGGCCAGAAUUGGACAAUGUCCACUUGAACAAUUCGCGGAUAGUACGUCGAAAUGUUGUCGUCGUACGAAAAAAGGGUGUGGUCAUUAUUGUCACAAGAAACAGUGCAAAAAAAGUUGGAAAUCAACAAAUGAUCAGUUCUAUUGUUAUGCUGAACACGCAGAGCCAGAUGGUCGAUUUGAAAAUCCAAUAAAUUGGCAAUUUUACGCUUCUGAACAGAGAAAACAGCUCCGCAAGGACAACGCCUUUUUCGACAGUUACGAUUCUUGGUUGACCAGACGUUACAGGAAACGAAAUGUACUCCGAAUGCGCAACAGCAAUUUAUUGAACAUCAAUUCUUAAUGCACAUCUUUUUUGUUUUUUUUUUAAUAAUUACCAUCUAGUUUAUUUAAAUUCCCUUCUUUUUUAUUCAUUUUUGUCAUUAUUCUGAAUGUAAAACUUCAUUCAACUUUCCAUACAAUUCCACCAUCAGUAGUAAUAAUUAUGAUGAUAUUUCAAUUUCUAUUUAUAAAUUUCAUCUUUUUUCUCUCUUCCUUUCACCAAAUAUUUACUCCAUUAUUGAACUGCUAAAAAUGGAUGUGAAAAAAUGUUCACUUUUUUUUUCCAUCUUUUCAAAUUCAUCCAUAUUAUUAUUAUUAUUAUUAUAAAAUACAAUACACAGGCCAAUGAACUUGCAAUAGCAUAAUAUUUUUUUUUGUUCAGUUUAGUUUUUUUUUGAAAAUGAACAUUUUUCUUAUUUAAAUAAAUAAUGUGACAUGAUUUUGCUGCUUUUCAUGACGGAUGAUAGACUCAACAAUUUUCACUGGUAGGAGAAGGUAAAUGCGCUGUUGAACGUUGCUGACCCAUAGGAUUAGAAUUCGACUCGUCUGAACUAUCCUCGUUGGCUAGUAUCAAAUCAUCCAUAUCAAUAAGCAAGUCUUGUGCCGGCAGAAGCUCAUCAUGCGUGACAUUUGACGAUUCCGUAAGAUGCGCUUGAGACGAUUUUGCAUAAAUCGUUCGAGACUGUCCUGUAGGCAUACCAUCUGAGUUAGACGAAGAAGAGUCCAUGUUUUCUUCCAUUGCCAUUGCGAUACAUCGACGCAGUCUACCUUCUUUUUCGCUGCAUGUUAUGUAAUCGUUGUCUGACCAGCUUCCACAAACUUCAACUGAUAAUUCCGGUGUUAAAUCGAAGCUUCCUGCACUGCUAGCCUCGACUACAACAGGCACGGCAUUGACAAACUGUCGAUUUGGCACUGGCAUAGGCUGACUUCGAUCCGAACUUUGAACAGCAGAUAACGGCAGUUCCAAGGAGGCGGACUGGAACGGAUCCGUAACUUCGGAACAAGGAUUGGCUCUAAGGGCUGGGCCGAUCGGGCUGAGGUUUCAAGCGUGCAGUGUAUGCUUGGCUGAGUUGUGUUGAGGACUUGUUCACUUGCCGCCGUUUGUUCGGUUGGUCUAGUGUAUUCGAGUCUGAAGCAGAGCUGGCCGACAGACCGGCACGUGCAGAACCUGAGCUGCGCGGCUGUCCGUUUACGUGUACAGACCGUUUCGGUCGGCAUUCAACAGCCAACUUAGAACUGGCACGGACACAAGGAAUCUGACUGUAUAAUUAAAACAAAGCAUUGCGAUGGCCGAUGAUCGGUGAUGACGCAAUGUGAUUUCUGCCCAGUGCUCUGAAUGUCAAAGUGAAGAAAUUCAAUCAAGCGCGGGUAAACGGCGGGAGUAACUAUGACUCUCUUAAGGUAGCCAAAUGCCUCGUCAUCUAAUUAGUGACGCGUAUGAAUGGAUCAACAAGAUUCCUUCUGUCCCUAUCUACUAUCUAGCGAAACCACAGCCAAGGGAACGGGCUUGGCAAAAUCAGCGGGGAAAGAAGACCCUGUUGAGCUUGACUCUAGUCUGACUCUGUGAAGAGACAUGAAAGGUGUAGCAUAGGUGGGAGAUUGUCAAAUUGCCAUCGUUCGCGCGGUGGUCCGGUGAUCGCCAAUGAAAUACCACUACUUUGAUCGUUUCUUUACUUAUUCGGUAAAGCGAAAAAAUUGUGGCCAAUUUGGCGGUUUAUGUCGCUGUUGGUCAUUGUUUUCAUGUUAGAUUGAAGCUUUGUUUACAGCCGUCGCUUUGUGUCGCCAUUUGACGCAUUGUUGUACUGGGUUAUCCCGGUGUGUGGUGUAGUCAGUAUGGAUGAUCGGCGAUAGGUUUGAAGUGAUUCGCUCCGGAAACAGUGUCAGACGGGGAGUUUGACUGGGGCGGUACAUCUGUUAAACGAUAACGCAGGUGUCCUAAGGUAAGCUCAGCGAGGACAGAAACCUCGCUUAGAGUAAACGGGCACAAGCUUACUUGAUUUUGAUUUCCAGUACGAAUAGAAACCGCGAAAGCGUGGCCUAUCGAUCCUUUUGAUUGUGUAGAUUUCAUGCAAGAGGUGUCAGAAAAGUUACCACAGGGAUAACUGGCUUGUGGCAGCCAAGCGUCCAUAGCGACGUUGCUUUUUGAUCCUUCGAUGUCGGCUCUUCCUAUCAUUGCGAAGCAGAAUUCGCCAAGCGUUGGAUUGUUCACCCACCAAUAGGGAACGUGAGCUGGGUUUAGACCGUCGUGAGACAGGUUAGUUUUACCCUACUGAUGACAAGUCGUUGCGAUAGUAAUCCUGCUCAGUACGAGAGGAACCGCGGGAUCAGACAUUUGGUUCAUGCGCUCGGCUGAAAGGCCGGUGGCGCGAAGCUAGCAUCUGCAAGAUUAUGACUGAACGCCUCUAAGUCAGAAUCUUUUCUAGUCAUUGGCAACGAUAAGUUGCGUCCAGACUCGAUGCGAGGAAACGAUUAGGCUUUGCUAUACGGCGAAGCCAUUAUCAGACCACGGUAGCAGGCAGUAUGGGAUUGUUACGAAAAAGCAAUUUUUUGAAGUCAGUUGAAUUCAAUCAAACUGCUAACAAUUCCACUGCGAAUGACUCCAUUCGAAUCAAU